ACGGAUUAGUUAUUUUAUUAACGCAGCUCAGGCUCCAGGCGGGUGUCCGGAUCCGGCUUUCAGGGCAGAGUCCACGAUGGGUACUCACAGGGAGAGGGCAGGACGAGGCCAGGACCAGAGAAGGCAUCAGGGAGAAUAGUCAUGGUGAACUCCUGUGCAGCCUUCAAAACCCACUUCAAAUGACUGAGCCAAGGGUCUGUUCUCACCCCGCCCCCACCACACUUCCCGUACCCCUGCCUUAGUCCCUCACAAAUCCAGACAUGGGCCUCCUCUUUGCAGACAUGGGCUUUUAUUCACUGUCAGCUCCAGGAUGGACGGAGGGAGCGAGUCAUGCACAGCCUGGUCUACUCCAGCACCGGGGCGCGGGCACGGGAGCAGGCAGAGCGGACUGCAGGGCCCGGACAGCGGGGCACGGCGACCCCGCCAGCCCGCGCCCAGUGGGGGCGGCCGGGAGAGCGGGGCUGGCGACCCGACUCUCGCCAGGGGGGCGCGGGCGCGUCUGCCCCCCGGCCUCAGCUCCCCGCGCGCGCGGCGGAGCGAGCAGAAGCGCUGGCACACAGCACUGGGGCCCCAAGUGCUCACUGCGGUCAGUUCUGUAAACACAAGGAAACUGAGGCACAAAGUGGGGACGCCAUUUUCCCAGAGCCACACGGUGAAGCCAAGAUUCAGACGGGCCCCCACUGCCCCCAGUUGGGUUUACUCAAUCAAACUUCAUCUCAGGGAGGCUCCAAAAUGAGGGAACCCCUGGGGGGGGGGUGUUUCAGACACAUCAUGCUCAGGGGGUCGCAGCGGUGGGCAUCGAACAGGUGAAAUCACAUCCAGGGUGCACAUUCUUCUCCAGGCCUGGUAGCAUUCUUCAAGGCCUGUGCCUCCCAGAACAUCAGUGUCCUCAUGUGGAGUGGGUGACCCCUCUGCCUAGCUACUGAACUCCUACUCAUCCAUCAAAGCCCCAGUUCCCCUACAACCCCUCCUCCAGGCUGAAGCCUGCAGGACUAGAGGCCGACUCUAGCAAGGCUGGCCUAGGAGUGGAGGCUGUGAUGGUGGGAAGCAGCCUUCAGCAGCCAGCCUGUCAUCGGAUUACUUUGUUUUACGGUGGAGGGGAAUUGUUACAGACAUUCCAAGUCAUAUCCAAACUGAGCCAAGACCCGUGAACUGGGCUGCAAAUCACUGGGUCUCGGGUCAGGGAUGGGAUCAAGUUCACAAAAUAACAUAAAAGGUACAGAAAAACCAGAAAACACAAAUACACUUGACUUGUCCAAAGUACUUCCUUCUCAGCCCAGGGGGCAGGGUCUGCAAACGGGGUCCCAGAUGCAAGGGCAGGACCCGGGCAGCCGCCUUUGUAGUGGCGGCUCCAUCUGGCUGUCACUCAUAAAAGGUAAUAAAUUAGUUGCAGGUUUUGCUGCUAUUUACAAGGACACCCUCAUCCCCCAUUCCUGCCGCUACAGCCCGACCGGCACCAGAACAGAGGGAGGCGCUGUCUCCACCUUCCAGGAGGGACUGAGAUGGCUUCUCGCUUGCCAGGUGUCAGGCUGGUGGCUCAGUCUUCACCCAGGUGUCACUUUACAGAAAAAACACUGCACAGAACACAUGCACCUUCCAGGCCAGGGAGGGCUUAGUCCUUCCCGGUGGGUCCUAGGGCUCCCGGCAGGGCCUCGGUGCCCUCCACGGCGAUCUGCGGCACCGAGGCGGGUGGCCCGCUGGCCUCCUCGGGCGGCUCGUCAAAGCUCACCUCCUGCACGGCCUCCUGCUUCUUGAAGGAGUCCCGGCGCUCGGACAGGUGCAGCCGCC
Molecule: long non-coding RNA, 1788 nt
Organism: Equus asinus (donkey)
Lineage: Eukaryota; Metazoa; Chordata; Mammalia; Perissodactyla; Equidae
Source: Ensembl